RNA transcript from Lytechinus variegatus (green sea urchin), 3713 nucleotides. It is a transcript of the gene named guanine nucleotide exchange factor DBS-like, with no coding region annotated. The record is from RefSeq and is a predicted model, not a curated record. NCBI's taxonomy places the organism in Eukaryota, Metazoa, Echinodermata, Echinoidea, Temnopleuroida, Toxopneustidae. The transcript is spliced from 29 exons.
UGGAGUAAUUAACAUUUUCAAAAUGGCUGCCCUGGUUACGUGGGUGAUGUCAACGGGGGUGGACGCGGCAGACUUCUCCCAGAUCCUGUUUUGGCCCGCCGAGUUGAAGAUCGAUCCGUCCAAACUGGAUUUCGACAUGGAUAUGUCAGAUGAGAUCCUCAUCACUGACAUCAUCGACCAGCUCAACCAUAAAGUGGCAUUUAUCACAGGUGGAAAGACGCAGGAAGGUUAUCCAAUCAUCAAUAUGCCGGAGUGUCCCAAAUUUAAUCUGGUCCGAGAUGAAGAAUUUGUCAGGCUCAUGACGUAUCUCGUCAGGAUACCCAGUUAUUUCCAAGGACUACGAUGUGAUUCUGAAAGUCGUCUAGAAUUUGACAGGGGAUUUGUUAUAAUCAUUGAUCGAUCCACGACCUCAUGGGGCGACGUCAAGACGACCUUGAUAAGAAUAGCGGAUUAUUAUCAGGGAUACUUUCCCGGAAUCAUCCAGGGCGUCUAUGUCAUCAAACCAAGAGGAUUCCUCCAGAAGACCUUCUCCGAGAUGCGCUUCAAGGGCCUCAAGGAUGAAUUCAAAUUCAAGAUCGAUCUUGUGGACAGCACCUCCGAACUUCAUGCUCGGAUAGAUCCCUCGCAGCUUACAGGAGAAUUUGGCGGCACUUUGAACUUUGACCUCAAGGGCUGGAUUGAAGACAGAAUGGCUAUCGAGCGGUUUGCCAGCAACUGUCGGGAGCGGUCGACAACCGUUCGUGCCUUGACGGAAGAACUUCAACUGAUGGAGAUGCCCAACAACGCGGAGAAUGCCACCAUGCUGCUGAUCGAGCAACGGAAGCGUCGUAUGGAGGUCAAAGAGGACCUGGUGUCAGCGGUCAAGUACGGUCAGACGUUAUUAAGCUGUCUCAGGAAGACGACGGGCGAUGGGAAGGAGAAGAAUCCUGAUAAACUACUUACAACAUGUGCAAUAGAAAAAUUAUUAGAAGAACUAGAAGUCUUAGAGAAGGAGUUUGAUGACACUUGGAGCGACCAAGAAGCCAGGUUAAUAUUCUGCCUCAAAGUCAGGAAAUAUGAAGAAGAAUUCAAAGUGGUAUUAUUACUGAUUGAGAAUAUAACAGAGAAGAUAAACUCUGAAAGCAGCAUAGGAAACGCAAUCGAGGAAUGCAACACAUUCUUAGAAAGACAUUCAGAAUUGGAAGAAGAAAGCAAAGAGGCCUUCGACAGGUCAGAACAGCUGACCCUGACUGGAGAGGAAUUGAUGAAAAAUGAGAAGUUCCCCAUGGAGGCGGCCAGCAUCGGGCCAAAGUGCACCGAGCUGGACAGCAGAACCUCCAACCUUCAGGAGAACCUUGUAAACCGACGAACCAUGCUGGAGAGAUCACUUGAGCUCCAUCAAAGGAUACAAAAGGCCGAUGAUUGGUGCAGCGACGGCAUGAAGCUUCUAGCCUCGCAGGAAAUGGAUCAGUCCCAGUCCAAAGAGGGAGCCGAGAAGUACUUGCGCCAGAUCGACGAGGAACUGACCAGGUUUCGGGAGCUCAAACUCAGCGACCCUCGUGAGUUUCGUCAGAUGUUUGCCGACAUACUCACGAUAGAGGGAAAGUUUGAGCAGCAUAAGAAUCUUGUAAGAGACGCUGUCACGAAGAUGGAGGAUGUCAGGUCACUCUUCGAGAAGCGACGGGAAGGUCUGAAGAACAUAAUCGCCAAGUUUGAGCGACCGGUGGUCAAGAUGGCCCCCGUGGCCCCCCUCCAGCAGUCCCCGCAGUCCUCCACGUCGUCCACACCCCACAGUUCACCCUCGGCCGGCAAGCUAGGUGUCCCACAGAAUGGUAACUCUGCCCCUCUAUCACCCAGACAGAAACACAAGAAAGGCAAGGGACAGAAGUUGGACCGUAAGAUUGAGAUUAUCCGUGAUGACUCGCAACCCUUGAGUUUCAGCAGUGAUGGUGAAUUCCAAGAUGAUGUGGAUUGUAACUCUCUCAGUUAUAAGCGCAGAAUUCUCAUGAAAAUGGGUGUUUGUCCCAAGUCCUACGCCCACCAAGACAACGGUUUCCAUCACUUCGUUAUGGAAAAGAACAACUCCAAUUCCUUUAGAUCCCUUGCUCAGUAUAAACUGAGACAUGUGGUCAAGGAGUUGAUUGAGACAGAGAAGAUCUAUGUCAAGGAGUUAGAAGCGGUUUUAACCGGUUACAUCCGGAAGAUGGACAACCCUGGCCUGUCAGAGCACAUCCCACCCUCACUGCGGGGAAAUGCAGAUGUACUCUUUGCCAACUGGGAACAGCUUUACAACUUCCAUAAAAGUAAAUUCUUAGUAGAACUGGAGAACUACAGGAAUACACCCACCCUUGUUGGUAAAUGCUUUGUAGAUAUGAAAGAUGAGUUGGAUCAUUUAUACAGUGUCUAUUGCCAAAACAAACCAAGGUCAGAAUUAUUCAGGAGAGAAUGUGGCACAAAUAACACAUUUUUCCAAGAAUGCCAAAAGUUAUUAGGUCACAAGCUUCCCCUCAGUGCUUACCUAUUGAAACCCGUUCAGAGGAUAACAAAGUAUCAACUCCUCCUCAAGGAGAUGAUGAGGUAUUCACCGAUGGAGAAAGGAGCAGAUGACCUUCAGUCUGCUCUAGACUGCAUGCUAACAGUACUCAAAUACGUCAAUGACUCCAUGCAUCAAGUAGCCAUCACUGGAUAUGAUGGAACCCUUUCAGAUCUGGGUAAGCUUUUGAUGCAGGGUCCGCUCCAUAUGUGGACGGAACACAAGAGUCGUCACAACCUCAAAGACAUCCGUCAGAAGCGGAUGCAGCGUCACAUCUUCCUCUAUGAGAGGGCGGUGCUCUUCUGCAAGAGGCGAGGGGACAUCCGCGACAAGACAUUCUAUGCCUUCAAGAACAGUAUUUCGACACCAUCAUUAGGUUUGACAGAGCAUGUGAAAGGAGACAAGAAGAAGUUUGAGUUGUGGCUCGGUGGCAGAGUAGAAGUAUUCAUCUUACAGGCACCAACAGAGUCUGACAAGAUUGCAUGGACCAAGGCCAUUAGACAAGCUCUUUUAGUCACCAAAGAACCAACAGGGAGGAAAACUGCCCAGAAGCCCAUCAUAGAAAACCAUGUAGAAGUUCUUCAAGCCAACACCAACGCGGGUAACAACAACGGUCUCUCUCUACCAUCACCGACGAGUGACUCGUCGUCAGCCGGUAGCGCGAACCCGUCGCUUACGAGUGAGCCCUCGUUAGAGAACGAUGAGGAGUAUGAUGACUGGGGCAGCGCAGAGUUCACGGAUUCGGAAGACGAGAUAUUAGAUCGGGAUUGCUUAUCAGAACCGGUUGAUAUGAACCAAUAUGUGGUGCUUGCAGAGUACAACGUCGUUGAGCCCGGGGAGCUUGCCGUGCAGGAGGGGGAGAUCGUUGACGUCCAGAAGGUCGGUAAAGCGGGUUGGUGGCUGGUUCGGAAACACACCAGCAACGAACAGGGCUGGGUGCCAGCCAGCUACCUGGAAAUGCUUGCUAGUCGCAUCUCACGUUCAAACCACUCCCUUAGCAGUCAAGACUCCUUCUACAUCUGAGGAGGUCAGCUGAUUAUUGAUCAGUGGGCUAUAGAGGGAGCCCUUCAAAGAGAGUCCGGAUGAACGGUAAACACAAAAGAGAGAAUGGAAAGAGAUGAGACUCCUUCACUCCCUCAAACUUUCUUCGUUCGUGUGCAGGCCAACUAAUUGGACACUGUAUAGCGCCAUCUAGUGGCUA